UACGAAGGGGGCUAGCGUUGCUCGGAAUCACUGGGCGUAAAGGGUGCGUAGGCGGGUCUUUAAGUCAGGGGUGAAAUCCUGGAGCUCAACUCCAGAACUGCCUUUGAUACUGAAGAUCUUGAGUUCGGGAGGGGUGAGUGGAACCGCGAGUGUAGAGGUGAAAUUCGUAGAUAUUCGCAAGAACACCAGUGGCGAAGGCGGCUCACUGGCCCGAUACUGACGCUGAGGCAUGAAAGCGUGGGGAGCAAACAGG
This 253-nucleotide ribosomal RNA is filed under the name uncultured bacterium. RNAcentral's name for it is "partial 16S ribosomal RNA". It matches the Rfam family "Bacterial small subunit ribosomal RNA", at positions 524 to 776 of the family's 1533-position model. The record is from RNAcentral.